RNAcentral lists this long non-coding RNA (476 nucleotides) under Salmo salar (Atlantic salmon). RNAcentral describes it as "lncRNA (ENSSSAG00000121744.1, ENSSSAG00020013097.1)". The record is from RNAcentral. Lineage: Eukaryota; Metazoa; Chordata; Actinopteri; Salmoniformes; Salmonidae.
GUACAGCUGGGAAGGACAGCAGUUCUGCAGUGGUCAGUCAGUGUCAGGUACAGCUGGGAAGGACAGCAGUUCUGCAGUGGUCAGUCAGUGUCAGGUACAGCUGGGAAGGACAGCAGUUCUGCAGUGGUCAGUCAGUGUCAGGUACAGCUGAGAAGGACAGCAGUUCUGCAGUGGUCAGUCAGUGAGCCAAGAUGAAGCUAAAGAAAGGAGCUGUUUUACAGUUUUUUUCAAUUGCUAAAAAGCAUUGGUCAACUGAAGCCACUUUUUCUAAACUCUUCACACAGUCUGCAUUACCAACAUGCACCUUGGCCAAACAGUUAAUCUCACCUCCAAAACUCACUCAAACCACCAAAACACUUCAUACAUGUUCCAAAAUAAACUCGUUCGACCAUAACACUGGCAACAAUUCUCACUCAGAAAGCAUACAUUGUCUCUCAUAACACACUGACCUAAAAAACACUAACAACAGGGAGCAU